ACACUCCGUGUCCCUGGAGCACUGAUAUAGUCAUGUGUGCUUACGAUGUUAGUUCUGAGUAUUAAUUCCAGUGGCUUUCGCUCAUAAGGCAGCCAAGUUGGGAAAGCGAUUAACCCAGCUAAGUUAUUUUCACCUUUUAAUAACAUUGGCAUCUGUGAGCCUCCUCUUUCAAAAAGAAUCAUAAUAGUGAGUUUCUCAAUGAUGUAUGCUAAGGAAGAACUCCCAGGUUAUCUGUUUCCAUUCUGUAUUCUGGCUAUGGCUGAGAAAGGUCACAUUUGAAAAUCCUGUUUAUGGAGAGUCACAGGAAAUGUUCCCCGAUUUACAAUUUUAAUGGUGCUUGCCAGAGCUCACCUGAAGAAAGCAUUAUUCAAAUAAAAUUUAAAGGAAAUAUUUUUGUUCUGGGCUUAGACACAUAAAGAAAUACUACUGUACAUUUUUUU
Hemicordylus capensis (graceful crag lizard) is the source of this 440-nucleotide long non-coding RNA. RefSeq lists it as uncharacterized. The transcript has 4 exons. The record is from RefSeq and is a predicted model, not a curated record. Lineage: Eukaryota; Metazoa; Chordata; Lepidosauria; Squamata; Cordylidae.